CGGACGGGUGAGUAACGCGUAAAGAACUUGCCCUUUAGACUGGGAUAACAGAGGGAAACUUCUGAUAAUACUGGAUAAGUUAGUAUAUCGCAUGAUAUGCAAAUGAAAGCUACGGCACUAAAGGAGAGCUUUGCGUCCUAUUAGCUAGUUGGUAAGGUAAGAGCUUACCAAGGCGAUGAUAGGUAGCCGGCCUGAGAGGGUGGACGGCCACAAGGGGACUGAGAUACGGCCCUUACUCCUACGGGAGGCAGCAGUGGGGAAUAUUGGACAAUGGAGGGAACUCUGAUCCAGCAAUUCUGUGUGUGUGAAGAAGGUUUUAGGACUGUAAAACACUUUUAGUAGGGAAGAAAAAAAUGACGGUACCUACAGAGGAAGCAACGGCUAAAUACGUGCCAGCAGCCGCGGUAAUACGUAUGUUGCGAGCGUUAUCCGGAAUUAUUGGGCUUAAAGGGCAUCUAGGCGGUAAGACAAGUUGAAGGUGAAAACCUGUGGCUCAACCAUAGGCUUGCCUACAAAACUGUUGAACUAGAGUACUGGAAAGGUGGGUGGAACUACACGAGUAGAGGUGAAAUUCGUAGAUAUGUGUAGGAAUGCCGAUGAUGAAGAUAACUCACUGGACAGAAACUGACGCUGAAGUGCGAAAGC
This 645-nucleotide ribosomal RNA is filed under the name uncultured bacterium. RNAcentral describes it as "bacterial SSU rRNA". It matches the Rfam family "Bacterial small subunit ribosomal RNA", at positions 99 to 760 of the family's 1533-position model. The record is from RNAcentral.